This 521-nucleotide ribosomal RNA is filed under the name uncultured bacterium. Its description in RNAcentral is "bacterial SSU rRNA". It matches the Rfam family "Bacterial small subunit ribosomal RNA", at positions 44 to 562 of the family's 1533-position model. The record is from RNAcentral.
GUGCCUAACACAUGCAAGUCGAACGGUAACAGGUCUUCGGAUGCUGACGAGUGGCGCACGGGUGAGUAACGCGUGGAUAUCUGCCUAUUAGUGGGGGACAACUUGUGGAAACGCAAGCUAAUACCGCAUAAUCCCUACGGGGGAAAGCAGGGGACCUUCGGGCCUUGUGCUGAUAGAUGAGUCCGCGUCUGAUUAGCUAGUUGGUAGGGUAAAGGCCUACCAAGGCGAUGAUCAGUAUCUGGUUUGAGAGGAUGAUCAGACACACUGGAACUGAGACACGGUCCAGACUUCUACGGAAGGCAGCAGUGGGGAAUAUUGCACAAUGGGCGCAAGCCUGAUGCAGCGACGCCGCGUUGGGAAGAAGGCUUUAGGGUUGUAAACCACUUUCAAUUGGGAAGAAGAAGAUGAGUGUUAAUAACAUUCUGAUUUGACGGUACCUUUAGAAGAAGCACCGGCUAAUUUCGUGCCAGCAGCCGCGGUAAUACGAAAGGUGCAAGCGUUGUUCGGAUUUACUGGGCGUA